RNAcentral lists this ribosomal RNA (274 nucleotides) under uncultured bacterium. RNAcentral's name for it is "partial 16S ribosomal RNA". It matches the Rfam family "Bacterial small subunit ribosomal RNA", at positions 523 to 796 of the family's 1533-position model. The record is from RNAcentral.
AUACGGAGGGUGCAAGCGUUAUCCGGAUUCAUUGGGUUUAAAGGGUCCGCAGGCGGGAAAAUAAGUCAGUGGUGAAAGCCUACAGCUCAACUGUAGAACUGCCAUUGAUACUGUUUUUCUUGAGUAUAGAUGAAGUGGGCGGAAUAUAUCAUGUAGCGGUGAAAUGCAUAGAUAUGAUAUAGAACACCGAUUGCGAAGGCAGCUCACUAAACUAUUACUGACGCUCAGGGACGAAAGCGUGGGGAGCGAACAGGAUUAGAAACCCCAGUAGUCC